ACGGGUGAGUAACGCGUGGGUAACCUGCCUCAUACAGGGGGAUAACAGUUAGAAAUGACUGCUAAUACCGCAUAAGCGCACAGUGCUGCAUGGCACAGUGUGAAAAACUCCGGUGGUAUGAGAUGGACCCGCGUCUGAUUAGCUAGUUGGUGGGGUAACGGCUUACCAAGGCGACGAUCAGUAGCCGGCCUGAGAGGGUGAACGGCCACAUUGGGACUGAGACACGGCCCAAACUCCUACGGGAGGCAGCAUG
Molecule: ribosomal RNA, 253 nt
Filed under: uncultured bacterium
Lineage: Bacteria
Description: partial 16S ribosomal RNA
Rfam family: Bacterial small subunit ribosomal RNA
Source: RNAcentral